This 1276-nucleotide long non-coding RNA is filed under the name Parus major (Great Tit). RNAcentral describes it as "lncRNA (ENSPMJG00000012421.1)". Lineage: Eukaryota; Metazoa; Chordata; Aves; Passeriformes; Paridae. The record is from RNAcentral.
AUUUUGACUACAGUUAAAUGACUGUUGUCAACCAUCUUUCAUCACCAACAAUUAGGCUGAACAAAUGAUGCAAAACCAAGUAUGCCUAAGGAGCACAGACUUGAGGUUCAGAAUUCAAAGUCUUCCAAGAGGAAUAAAAAAUCUGGUGGAAAGAAAGUCAGGAGCCCUACUGUGCUUGACUAACAGAGGUUCAGCCAAGGAAAUUUUUGGUAGAACAUCAAAAAGCAGAAAUAGAUUGUUUUCUUUUUUUCUCUGGACUGCCUGCUGACUUCAGGACAACCCAUUCUUCCCUUUUUUAUACUCACAGCUCCCCAGGUGCUCUCUAUGGUAACCUUUCACUUUUUGUAUCCAGAGAGCAGGAUGUUUCCUGUGGUGUGUCAAUAACAAUUUGGUUUUCUCUGAUACCAAACUGAAAAAUUCCACUGACAAGCCCAAUACUGGCAAUUCAGCUGACAAGCUCAAUACCUGUGACUUAAAUAUGUGACAAAUGUGAGCUGACUUGAACAGUCAUUUCAAGUAACCUGUCAAGAUAUUGAAGAUCUUGGGUCAAUUUGAAAAUGAGAAAAAAAGCCAUUAAUAUCUAUUAAUGCAGAACUAGCAUUGACAAAGUAGUAUGCCUUGAAAUGUGUUACAGAGAGGCAGAUGACCGAUGUGCUUGGAAAUCGUUUGUGAUGUCUAGAGCAAGGUGAAUAUUGAAUACAUAGCUUUCUUUUUUUUUUUUUUUUUUUUUUGAAAGGUUGAAUUUUUUGUUUUGAUAUACAUUGUAUCCUUCAUUUCUAGUAGCAUUGCAUGUGAUUCACAGCCCCAGAGAAAACCAUGCUCAGUUUUGCCAGCAGUCAGGUUUGAUGUUUGUACUUGAACCUAUAUUUGAAAUUCUCCAAUUACAGAAAGGAUGGAGUCAAAGGUUGGUGUUACACAUACCCACCAGCUGAACUGCAGCCCAUUGAAAUGACAGAAACAAUAGGUGAUGCAGAGCAAAGGAAAGAGCUGAAAGCUGUGGUGCCAGGUGAGUCUGUACAGAAAAAGCCUGUUCUGGAAGAAGUGAUGGUCAUGGGUAUGUGUGAGCCAAAAGCAGAAGCUAUUUCCAGCUUUUUAUGGGGCAGGUCUCAGGCCCUCUCUGUGUCUCAGCUUCCCAGCAUCAUCAGGGCUUGCUGAGAUGUUGAUCAGUUCCUGCAGUUCUUCCCUUGCUACUGUCACACCUGCUUUUGGUCAGCUUUUCCUCAGUGAAGCACAGCACUUAAAUAAAAUUGCUAUUUCAGAGUGCUUGUUUUGAGAU